AACGCACGAGACCUGCGGACCUGCGGAGGGAUCAUUACCGAGUUAUCCAACUCCCAACCCCUGUGAAUUAUACCUUUAAUUGUUGCUUCGGCGGGACUUCGCGCCCGCCGGGGACCCAAACCUUCUGAAUUUUUUAAUAAGUAUCUUCUGAGUGGUUAAAAAAAUGAAUCAAAACUUUCAACAACGGAUCUCU
RNAcentral lists this unclassified non-coding RNA (193 nucleotides) under soil metagenome. RNAcentral describes it as "partial contains 5.8S ribosomal RNA, internal transcribed spacer 2, and large subunit ribosomal RNA". The record is from RNAcentral.